Ostrinia nubilalis (European corn borer) is the source of this 578-nucleotide long non-coding RNA. RefSeq lists it as uncharacterized. Lineage: Eukaryota; Metazoa; Arthropoda; Insecta; Lepidoptera; Crambidae. The record is from RefSeq and is a predicted model, not a curated record. The transcript has 3 exons.
GUCGUGUAACUGUGAAAAAGUAUCGAAAUGAAAUAUUAACAAAUUAUUUUCGACUAAUAAAUUGUUGUGAUACCAAGAUUUGGGUGGAAAAAAGGUUUUGAAAUCAUUUUGGUCAUUUAAAUCAAAUGAGAUCGAAAUGAGUAUUGUUUUGAAGACCGCGUUUGUGAGUGUUACAACAAAUUCCAACCACAAACCGUAUUUAAAGGAAAGUUGUUGGUAUUGGCUGGACAUGUCCGAGAUGUAGAAGAAUUAAGAACAAAACAAGGGCAGAGUUCAAUAAUUCACGCUCUCAUCAUAAGGCAAACAUCUAUUACUUUGCCACCUUAGAAAACGAAACGGUUUUAAACUUAGGUGAAUACAGCACAAGUAGUCACAAGUGUGAAAUGUAAUUGUGGUUAUAAUCAAAGUGGUUAUGUAGAAUCGUUUUGCCAUUGACAGAUACAUCUGAUGACAGAGCUUACAUUAUUUCUACUUUUGACCACCACGAGUGCUGCGAUAGAUUGUUACCCCCACCUAGUACUUCGCACCCAGCGACGUAAGAAAGUGAUUAUGACAGGUCUAUUAAGUGAGGCGCUCCU